This 517-nucleotide ribosomal RNA is filed under the name Anopheles minimus. RNAcentral's name for it is "eukaryotic LSU rRNA". It matches the Rfam family "Eukaryotic large subunit ribosomal RNA", at positions 298 to 680 of the family's 3401-position model. The record is from RNAcentral. Lineage: Eukaryota; Metazoa; Arthropoda; Insecta; Diptera; Culicidae.
GGUACUCCUUCUAGCUAAAUACCGCCAUGAGACCGAUAGAAGACAAGUACCGUGAGGGAAAGUUGAAAAGCACUCUGAAUAGAGAGUCAAAUAGUACGUGAAACUGCCUAGGGGACGCAAACCUGUUGAACUCAAUGAUCCGGGCGGCGAUAUUCAGCGGUGGUCCACCCUUACGGGUUGGCUGCCGUGCACUUAUCGGUCCGCAGUAACGGACAUCGCGAUCCAUUACAAUGGGGCAUUCCACCAAUGGCCCCUAGCUCGUGGUUGGCGGCUUUCUAGUAAGGUGGCUCGGCGGCCUCCCUGAGCGAAAGUCUCCGCGCCCUUCACACCAAAGGGGCGCAGGGCCCGAUCGAGCUUGGUGUGCCGCUGGAAAUGUGAUGGAUUGGUAUGAGCGGGGUUCGAGUGUGUGGCCUUAAGCCGGAGGCCCGAAUAACACUCGCCCCCGAUCGGUGAUGACGCAUUAUGCAUUGAGGCACCUACGGGACCCGUCUUGAAACACGGACAAAAAAUUCCCAAA